Long non-coding RNA from Taeniopygia guttata (zebra finch), 5928 nucleotides. Lineage: Eukaryota; Metazoa; Chordata; Aves; Passeriformes; Estrildidae. The record is from Ensembl.
AUUUCUCACAUUUGUUUCCAUGUGGGAAACCAUUUCCUUGCAGGUUUGGAUAACUCAAGAUGAGAGGAAUUACAUUAGACAUUAUAUGACAGGGGAAAAUAUGUGGACAUGGGAGGAGACAGAAGGGGUUGAAUGGAAGGAAAGAAAUGGAGAAAUGGGAAAAGGAUAAAGAUGGAAGAUGGUGAGAGAAAAUAUCAAGAAAGUGAAGGGGAGGAGAGAUAGAAUAAAUCAUUAUUCCCUAGGAAACAGAGAGGUGAGGGUCCGUGCAGGAAGGUGGAGAACAGAGAAAACAGGAAAAAAGAAGAGUGUGAAGGAAGUUUGAAGUUGUGAUUAAAAGGAAGAUUAAAAGUUGUGAGGAAAGCACAAUUUGCAGGAAAGGAGGAGGGAGCUGAUGGCCUAGAAGGUAAAACAGAGGUGAGAGGAGAACCUGUGUCUUGUUCUGACAGUGUUUUGGGUGUCUGGUUGGUUCCCACAGGCAGCCAGGCAGAAGAAGCCCAGAGGUUUGGCUGCCAUCGUGCUGCUUCCCUCCAUCCACCACACUGACCAGACCUGGGACUUAGUGAUGUGAAGAGAAACCGAGGGAGACAAAUCUCUUCCAUUUCCCACAGGUGUUUGAUGAACUCUAUCUGGGGAACAAGGGAUGUCACUUUCCAAGAGACCCAGGCAAGUCCAUUCCUCCCCCAGAGCCAGAAAAGAAGCUCUCCAGUUUCUUCAGACCCAGGACGGUGUGUUAUGCUGUAACUGUGUGAAUUCACAGAUGUAAUGACCUUGCAGAUUAUACUUUUCAGUGGAAAGACUCCAUAAUAUGCCAAAGUGAUCGCUCCUAGGCCUUCAAGCAAUGAGUUUCUUAUUCCUCUGAGAGGGCACGGGGGUGUAGAGAGGCUGUGCUGGCAAAUCCAACCACUUCAAAGCAUCCCUGCAUAGCAGGAAGGAGAUCUGUCAUCUAAAUCUUCUUUCUGGGCUGGCUAACAUGCCUUAGGCAGUUUCACCUUCAGGCACAUACACUGCAUAACGGGGCUGGAGAAAUCAGUGCCCCCUUCUCUGUACAGGAUCUAGGAAGGGGUAAGUGAGCAGUGUCUCCUCAUCAAGCCCAGGGUCAAACAACCCAGCACACGCAGAGUGUAGGCUGAUGUAGACAAAGUUGCUCUGAGACUACAGGAACAGCAAAACCUGGAGGAUCCCCUCUCACACUCCACCACUGGACUGGUGCUCUCUCCCUCCUGCACACUCAGUCACAGGCAGGACAACCUUCUUAGAGAGGAAGGAUUGGGCCCAUGAUGCCUUCUUAGAGAAGCAGCCAGUCAUCCAGGAGCAGAGUCGUCACCUGGCAGUCAUGGGUGGCUGAGGGCUUUUCAGAGGUCACUCAAGCCUUGGUCUCUCUGGACAUUGCCCUGGCAAGUUCUACCUUCUAGCUCAGCUCCCUGCAGCAGUGGAUGGAGGAAGGAAGAGCCGUGAAGGACCUGGCACCCAGCUACCCCUCCAACAUCAGACCAUAGGUCUAUAGGAAUUUAAAAACCCUUUAUCUCCACUCCAUCAGUCUGUGUCCAACCUUGCUUCUCUUUCUUCUGAGUUUUGUGCUCUACCCCAGCACCUCUAGUGCCACUAAGGAGCCAGAAUAUCCUUUUCCUGGCCACCACAACCACCAUCAAUGCCACUGACACCUCCUUGCUCCUCUUCCCUAUAAGCACCGUUUCCUACAAUGGCCCAAAAAGGAGAGCACUGCCCUCAUGGAUAUGGUAAUAUGGCCCUGAAAAGCCUCUAAUUAACCCUUAUUAUAUAAUUCACAGCUUCAUCUGGCAGCUUCUGCCACAAAGGGCUCAACAGACAGUGUCAAAAAUACCAAUUAUCUCCCUGGCUGCCACUUGAGAAGCAGAGAGAAAGAGAAACAGGUGUCACAGGUAGGAAAUCUUGUGGCUGCCAGUGACACAAGACAGAAAAUGUACAGCAGACAAACAGAGGCAAUGCCUGUCUCCCCACUUAUCAUAAAGGGAUGAGAAGCUGGGAUCUAUGUCUUCUGGCCCAAUGCCCAAUUUGAGCCAAGUCCAAAAUGAAGCCCCUUUUCCUCCAGAGAAGCAGGUACCACGACAUUAAACAGCCACUUUCUUUAUCUGAAAGCACUCAUACACAAGAGGUAUAGCCACUGCAGCCUUUAUAGAUUUAACCUGCACCUCCUUGUCCUGAUGAGUCCACCCUAUGAUACAGCUUGGCUUGGCUUGGCCACCUUUGUCAGCUACAUCACUGUCUUGCAGCUCAGGACCUUGGUCCAACAAUGCCAUUUUCGGAUUUUAGGAACCCCCAGUCAUCGGCUCCAGAUGUUCAGGAAGGGAAAUUACAGAGAAAAAAGAAAUCCUCAGGCCUGUGUUGUGAUCUGGCAACAGCAGGCAGCUGAGGCAGGUUUGUGCCUAUUUGCUCACAAGUCUGUGGCCAAGUCUGACUCUUCCUCAUGCUCCACGCCUGGCUAUGCUUUUCCCUCCUUCAGCCACUUCUACCCAGAGGUCCCCAGAUCCCCCCACCCAUUCUUCAGCUUCCACCUUAUUAUUCAGGUUCCAUUUGUCCCUCAAUGCUCAUGGCAGAGCCUCCACUGUCUUUGGAGUUGGAGCAAGACAAGUGGGACAAAGCACUGGGCUGGAAAAUUGGGUGCAGAAGUUGCAAUGAAUUCUUAAUGAUGCCCUUUCUGGCAACAGAGGGAUGGAGCAGAAUACUUUUCAUUUUUGAAGUGUUUCUUAUUUAAAAAGUGAUGAGGCCUUUGAUUCAUUUUCCACAGUAGCAUUGGCUGGGCACAUGCUUACUUCUGCCUUGCUUAGCAAGAGUCACCAAUACAGCUCCUCGGACUCAUUUAGAUGCCAGUCCUUUCUCCUUUGGGAAUGCACGUUAACUGCCAGUCCCUGAGGAGCCUGGCAAUCCUACUGUAAGAGGUAUCACAUAACCAUGUUGUGAGACAGACCCUGUUCCAAGGAGCCUGACAAGGGAAGAGAAGACACAGAUUCCUGUUGAAUAUUUGGGAAGACAAGGAAUGAAGCAGUUCUGCACACUGCCAUAGUCCCACCAAACCUGUGGCAGAAACUCGAGUUUGUCCCUGUAGGGGACACCAGUGAUAGUGAUCUACCCAUCAUCUUAACAAUGUAAGGGAACAUGUAUAAAAGUAUUCAAGUCUGUGUUUCAUUUCUCUUAUCCUUUCACUCCUAAAUAUUUCACUUUCAGGUCAUUUGGGUUCUCUUUCUCUUGGUUUGUGUUUCCUUCAAGGGUCAGAAGGAAAACGCAGAGGCUAUUCAGUGACACACUCUGCUCCCCUGCUAUGGGUGAGCAUGGCCUGUGCACUUAAAAUCCCAAAUCCCCUUGGGCUCUGUGUAGCUCUCAGUCUGUCCUCCAGCUCUGCACAAUACACACAUUUGCGUUUUAAUUGAAAAGGCAUCCAAGACAUGGGGAAAGAUGUUAGCCUGACCAUUCCCUAGCCUGCACUGCUCUCAUCCCCUUGGGCAACAGCCCUCAGGACAAAGGUCAGCAGCAUGACCCUCACACCUUCAACCAUAUGUUCAUUGCCCUUCAGAGCUGUUGGUUACUGGCUCCAUUGGAGUCAACAUUAUCUGGACAGGAGACUUUCCUCAUUCUUCUCCCUUAGGCUUGGCCUGACCCUGAGGAGUCAUGAUGGCUCAGGAUGUCCAGGCACUCAGUGCUGCAGAAAAGUAUCCUCUAAUCCAAGCUGGUUAUUGUAAAAAUCCACCAAGAUGUGGAUGGGAAAUCAACACCCAGAAAAGGUUGUUAGCUUUGCAGUGGAAAGAGGAUUCAUCUGCCAUUCCAUCAGAGGUGCUCUUCCAGUGCCUGCAGUCAGUCCAGAAGAGGGCAAUGUUGCCUACUUGCCUGUCGGUACCACAACACAGAGGCACAUGCACAUGCACAUGUCGACAAAGGCAAAGAGAUGACAACUGUCCUGUAUGACUUCCAGCAAAAGACUCUGUGGCUAAGUCAGGUCUUUCUCUGUUACAGCAAAUUACUUGGAUAAGUCACUGAACUUCGUAAGGGUGGAAAAGAACCACAUCAGCACAAACCAACCACAAGAAAACACAAAACAGUCUUCCCAAGUCUGCCGCCAACCAAAUAAUGAGACUGUGCAAAAAACCUGUGCUCUUCUCCAGGGUGGGUUUGCUUAGCAAGCCAGCUCACUCUGGCCACCCUCACACUGCACACUGCAGCCACUUCACUGUCCACAGCACAGCCCUUGCCCCUUCUCUCACUCCAUGAUGCAGACAUCAUGGUCACCAACCAGGUUCUGGAGGCAAAGUUCAGUGUGGUUGGCUGCAGUAACUGCAGUCUGUUGGACACAGUUACAUCCACAGGCACCAGAGAGAAAUAAUGUAGACACACAGACACAGCUCAUGACUUCUCUGGACACACCCCAUCUCACACAAUAGUGUGCAGAGCAGAGGACUCCUAAGCUCUCUGACUGGAAUCAGCCAAAGGCUGUUUAAAUGCAAGCACUGCUUAACUCUUUCACCACAAAUCAUUUUGGCCCAGAGGGCUGACUACAGUUCCUCUAUGUCCCCUCAGCCCAACAGUCCUCACCUGGCUUCAGGAUAUUUAUGAUGUCUUCAGCCUUGACAGUCUUCCCUUCCCAAAGCUUCCUGAUCUCCCUAGACAGCAUUUGUAAAUACAUUUUGUCCUUUCUUAUCCCUGUGGCAGAGCAACCAAAUGAAAUGCAAGGACUGUGGAGACAAAAUCGAAUUUAGCAACAAAAUAAACAGCAUGGGGGCUCUCUGCUGAUUAGAUUACGCCUCUUUAUAAUUUAUGCAUUAAUUCCCCCCAAGGUCUGAGAUUCCCUGUGUCAGAAGACCUGUACCCCUGCACUGCAGAGAUGCAGAUGCCAGGAACAACACUUUAACUGAAACAUCCGCCUUUCCACCAAGCAGAUAAAGCUCUGAUUAACCCCAGAAGAGCUCCUCUUUGUUAUGCACCAUCGUCCAUCCUUCAGAGAUACACAGUCCUGCACCAUUCCUUCCCACACUCAAUCAUUCUUCCUAAGUCCAGUGGAGAACAUGUCAGACUGUGAAGCAUCUGCCUGUAGUGGCAUCUGCUCCUAGAUCUGCUCUCAGAUCAAUUCAAGCAUUAAUAAGAGUCAUCAACUACUGCAGCAUAUAUAUCCAGGAGCUGUUGUGUCCAUAGUCACAACUCCCUAGAACCAUUUAUUCCUGUCUUUUACUACACAAGAGCAGAGACUGUGAGCUCAACACACUCAAUAGCGAAGCCUAGAAACCAUGGCUAGAUUUGUCUAAUCAGAGCGGGAUGUGCAAGAACAAAAAAAAAAAAGAAACCCUCUGAGCCAAGGAGCCAUACCACUCUCAGGAGAAAUAGAAACAUUAAGAAACAGGAGGCAGAGAAGAGACAAGACAUGCAAGGGAAUGGCUGCUAUGUCACCAUACACAAAUUGGCCUAAUUAUGUGUAUAAAUGCACCAAUAGGCAUGGAUUUGCUGGCUGUAUUCUUGACUUUAAAUAUUGAUGCUUAGGAAGAGCUGAGAUCAGGAUAUCUGCUGGUGGAUUAGGCUACAGAUUGCUCAGUCAUUACCCACGGCUGGAUCGCCUGCCUUGGAUUGCCUUCCUCCAGAGAGCACUGGAGCUCAGACAGAGGAUUUGUUGUGUAAGUAAUGGGCAAGGAAGCUCUGCCUUACACCCAGGCAGAGCUGUCUGCCUGCCCUGGGUGGGGCAGAACCUGUGUGCUGAUCAGGGCAGGAAAGGGCUGGUAUCAUGACAGAACUGACAACUGGGUGAAAAUAAGGAUGUGUCCAAAACAGACAAUAGCUAAGGGAAGAGAAACAGAGUGUUUGAGGGAAGCAGGUGACCCCUGGGUGUCUGGGACAAUCUCCCCAUGCCCUGACCCAACUCUCUCAGUUUCACCCAUACCUUGUUUCCUCCCACCACAUCCCAUCCCAUCCCAU